GAUGAACGCUGGCGGCGUGCCUAAUACAUGCAAGUCGAGCGAACGGACGAGAAGCUUGCUUCUCUGAUGUUAUCGGCGGACGGGUGAGUAACACGUGGAUAACCUACCUAUAAGACUGGGAUAACUUCGGGAAACCGGAGCUAAUACCGGAUAAUAUUUUGAACCGCAUGGUUCAAAAGUGAAAGACGGUCUUGCUGUCACUUAUAGAUGGAUCCGCGCUGCAUUAGCUAGUUGGUAAGGUAACGGCUUACCAAGGCAACGAUGCAUAGCCGACCUGAGAGGGUGAUCGGCCACAUGGGAACUGGGACACGGUCCAAACUCCUACGGGAGGCAGCAGUAGGGAAUCUUCCGCAAUGGGCGAAAGCCUGACGGAGCAACGCCGCGUGAGUGAUGAAGGUCUUCGGAUCGUAAAACUCUGUUAUUAGGGAAGAACAUAUGUGUAAGUAACUGUGCACAUCUUGACGGUACCUAAUCAGAAAGCCACGGCUAACUACGUG
RNAcentral lists this ribosomal RNA (497 nucleotides) under uncultured bacterium. Its description in RNAcentral is "partial 16S ribosomal RNA". It matches the Rfam family "Bacterial small subunit ribosomal RNA", at positions 28 to 507 of the family's 1533-position model. The record is from RNAcentral.